This 897-nucleotide long non-coding RNA is filed under the name Dermacentor andersoni. RNAcentral's name for it is "uncharacterized LOC126537944". Lineage: Eukaryota; Metazoa; Arthropoda; Arachnida; Ixodida; Ixodidae. The record is from RNAcentral.
AUUAAGUUCGAUGAUGAUGAUGAUGUAUGGGGUUUUAUGGCGCAAGGGCCAGGAAUGGCCAAAGAGCGCCAUGUCUGUGGUAGUGGGUGUGCAGUGUAACUAUGAUUACUAUGAAAUUGGUGUGACGUGGCUGUAAAGGGGCCUUAAAAUAUACGCUCUACAUUGCGUAAAAUCUGUAAUAAAAUUAUGGCGAUGACAUAUGACCUGUACUAUGCGCAUUUCGAUGCAUUUAAAAAGAAUGAUACAAUAGGUAAAAUAUAUCAGAUUAUAAUAAAUGCUAGAGCACUACUGCCUCCUUAGAGCCCUUGAAACACAAGGGUCUGGAGGCAUGUGCUAUACCGUACAACUAUCCCAGCGGCAUCCUCUAAAGAGAGGAAGCGCUAGGAAUGCAUGGGGCUAAUAACAUGUAGGACCACAUCUCUCAGAAAACCUAGGACUGUGUCUGUGUUAAAAAGCGGUUCUGGGCCGAGGAACAUUACUGGAUGGAGAGGGAUGUGCUGUCUGUAAGCUAAGGAAAAAUGUUUCGUUCUUUCAAAUUCGGCUUCGCGACACUCCAGAAGGACGUGGAGCACGGUCAGCCUCUCCCCGCAUCUACCACAGGUUGGAGGCUCACUUCCGGAAUCUGUUGUCCACACAUUUGUAAGCAAGGAUCCGGAACUAGGCCUCUCUUCCUUGUAAACAGCACACAAGAACUUUUUUGAGGAUUGAUUUUAAAACCAUUUUUCUCUGCCCACCCUGACACCUUAUUCAAGCCAUGCUGUACCUGUCUCUCGCAUACUGCGAGGUUACAGGAUUUGAAGCCUAUUUGAAUGUCGUCCACAUAGACGGAAUACAAGAUGGCUGGUGGUAAGGACGCACGAAGCGUUGUCAUUUUAACAAUAAAAAGUGUGCAACUGA